GACGAACGCUGGCGGCGUGCCUAAUACAUGCAAGUCGAACGCAGUGGGGACGGGUGAGUAACACGUGGGUAACCUCCCAUCAGAGGGGAUAACCAUUGGAAACAGGUGCUAAACCGCUACUGAUGGAUGGACCCGCGGUGCAUUAGCUAGUGGGUGAGGUAACGGCCCACCAAGGCCACGAUGCAUAGCGGGCCUGAGAGGAUGAGCGGCCACACUGGGACUGAGACACGGCCCAGACUCCUACGGGAGGCAGCAGUGGGGAAUCUUCGGCAAUGGACGAAAGUCUGACCGAGCAACGCCGCGUGAGGGAAGAAGGUUUUCGGAUCGUAAAGCUCUGUUGUUAGAGAGGCGGUAUCUAACCAGAAAGCCACGGCUAACUACGUGCCAGCAGCCGCGGUAAUAC
Molecule: ribosomal RNA, 403 nt
Filed under: uncultured bacterium
Lineage: Bacteria
Description: partial 16S ribosomal RNA
Rfam family: Bacterial small subunit ribosomal RNA
Source: RNAcentral